GACGAACGCUGGCGGCGUGCUUAACACAUGCAAGUCGAACGGGCCUUGUCCCCUUUUUUUUGGGGGUGGGGUUAGUGGCGAACGGGUGAGUAACACGUGAGUAACCUGCCCCUCACUUCUGGAUAACCGCUUGAAAGGGUGGCUAAUACGGGGUGUUCUGGCCUGCUCGCAUGGGUGGGUUUGGAAAGAUUCGACCGGUUUUGGUUGUUUUGGUGGGGGAUGGGCUCGCGGCCUAUCAGCUUGUUGGUGGGGUGAUGGCCUGCCAAGGCUUUGACGGGUAGCCGGCCUGAGAGGGUGGGCGGUCACACUGGGACUGAGACACGGCCCAGACUCCUGCGGGAGGCAGCAGUGGGGAAUAUUGCACGAUGGGCGCAAGCCUGAUGCAGCGACGCCGCGUGAGGGAUGGAGGCCUUCGGGUUGUGAACCUCUUUCGCCAGUGAAGAAGGUCCUGCUCUUUGUGGUGGGGUUGACGGUAGCUGGGUUAAUGAAGCGCCGGCUAACUACGUG
Molecule: ribosomal RNA, 507 nt
Filed under: uncultured bacterium
Lineage: Bacteria
Description: partial 16S ribosomal RNA
Rfam family: Bacterial small subunit ribosomal RNA
Source: RNAcentral